This 115-nucleotide ribosomal RNA is filed under the name Bacillus altitudinis. Lineage: Bacteria; Bacillati; Bacillota; Bacilli; Caryophanales; Bacillaceae. The record is from RNAcentral. RNAcentral also lists the same sequence under 4 other names.
UGGUGGCGAUAGCGAAGAGGUCACACCCGUUCCCAUACCGAACACGGAAGUUAAGCUCUUCAGCGCCGAUGGUAGUUGGGGGUUUCCCCCUGUGAGAGUAGGACGCCGCCAAGCU